CUGGUCGAUGUGCAGCCCCUCGUCCCCAUGUGCCUUGAGCAUUCGGACAAUGAGGCAGUUCAGAAGGUUCCGUCUCUUCUCCAAGUUCCGACCCUCUUCAUCCUCAGCUUUCAGGUACGUCUGAGGUGGGAUGAGCCACACGUUGCCCCUCCUUGGCCUGGGCUCCUCGCUGGCAUCUCGAAUCUUGAGCACCCCUGAAAUAAGCACUAGUCACCAGUGGGGGGCCCACGAGGAGGCUGAGAGCAGAGGCCCCUCUCCCCAAGUACAUACCUCCUGGGACACCCUUUUGCUCUUGAAGGUCCAGGGGGCCUCUCGAAGAGGUAAGAGGCCCAAUCGCCUGAUCGAGCAUGUCUGGAGAGAGCCCAGAGAGUGCCAGCAGACUCUCCACGGAGACAGCCUUAGAGAAGACGAAGGAAAUACUCAGGGCUUCCCCAAAGAGUGGAGCAGAGAAGGGAGAGGGAGGGAGGAUAGGGAGUUGAGGUUUAGGGAAGAGGGGUGAGGGACAAGGUACAGAGAGCAGGGCUGCCUAGCUGGGCUGGGCCACCUUCAGCUCAUUGAGAUACAACAGCAACCACAUCUGCACGGUGGACACAUGCAGGGUCUGGUCCCCAAACUGCAGCUCAGCCCGGCCCAGCCACGUCCACUGCAGCCGCCGAUGGGGUCCCAUGUCCAGGGCCGGGUAGCUCUGACCUGAGACAGGUCAGGGAGAGAAGGGGUCAGGGCUGGUGAGGGGGGACUGUUGGUUGAGCCCUGCCCCUGCUAAUCUCUGCCGAGCGUGCACCCCAGUGUUCAUGGAUCCUGUGCUUCCUGAACUUCCAGAGCUCAGCCUUCACCGUGCCCCUCUUGGGGAGACAAAACCAUGAAGUGAGGAAGGCCUGGGCUCUCAUCAAACUGGACUAUCCACGAUGAAAGAGGGAAUGAGGUCUCCCUGGACAGAAAAGGCAACAGUCUGGGGACCUGGUGCUUGAUAGCCCCUGCCCUCACCCCAAACGUAAGCU
Leptonychotes weddellii (Weddell seal) is the source of this 998-nucleotide non-coding RNA. The record is from RefSeq and is a predicted model, not a curated record. NCBI's taxonomy places the organism in Eukaryota, Metazoa, Chordata, Mammalia, Carnivora, Phocidae.